GAUGAACGCUGGCGGCGUGCCUAAUACAUGCGAGUCGAGCGAACGGACGAGAAGCUUGCUCCUCUGAUGUUAGCGGCGGACGGGUGAGUAACACGUGGAUAACCUACCUAUAAGACUGGGAUAACUUCGGGAAACCGGAGCUAAUACCGGAUAAUAUUUUGAACCGCAUGGUUCAAUAGUGAAAGACGGUCUUGCUGUCACUUAUAGAUGGAUCAGCGCUGCAUUAGCUAGUUGGUAAGGUAACGGCUUACCAAGGCAACGAUGCAUAGCUGACCUGAGAGGGUGAUCGGCCACACUGGAACUGAGACACGGUCCAGACUCCUACGGGAGGCAGCAGUAGGGAAUCUUCCGCAAUGGGCGAAAGCCUGACGGAGCAACGCCGCGUGAGUGAUGAAGGUCUUCGGAUCGUAAAACUCUGUUAUUAGGGAAGAACAUAUGUGUAAGUAACUGUGCACAUCUUGACGGUACCUAAUCAGAAAGCCACGGCUAACUACGUG
Molecule: ribosomal RNA, 497 nt
Filed under: uncultured bacterium
Lineage: Bacteria
Description: partial 16S ribosomal RNA
Rfam family: Bacterial small subunit ribosomal RNA
Source: RNAcentral